RNAcentral lists this ribosomal RNA (306 nucleotides) under uncultured bacterium. RNAcentral's name for it is "partial 16S ribosomal RNA". It matches the Rfam family "Bacterial small subunit ribosomal RNA", at positions 507 to 807 of the family's 1533-position model. The record is from RNAcentral.
GACAGCAGCAGCCGCGGGAAUACGGAGGGUGCAAGCGUUAAUCGGAAUUACUGGGCGUAAAGCGCACGCAGGCGGUCUGACAAGUCAGAUGUGAAAUCCCUGAGCUUAACUUAGGAAUUGCAUUCGAUACUGGGAAGCUAGAGUAUGGGAGAGGAUGGUAGAAUUCCAGGUGUAGCGGUGAAAUGCGUAGAGAUCUGGAGGAAUACCGGUGGCGAAGGCGGCCCCCUGGACAAAGACUGACGCUCAGGUGCGAAAGCGUGGGGAGCAAACAGGAUUAGAUACCCCUGUAGUCCCUGUCUCUUAUAC